UGACUUACAGUAUUUAAUAAGCCGUCAAUAAUUGAAUUGUACUGUGAUAGGCAGGCUUUAGCCUCUCAGUGAAGCUCCACCCUCCUGCCGCUCUAGAAGCAGGCACACACCUGUGCCGCUUUAGGAGUUGAUUUAUAGAGAGCACUCAGGAUCUCCCCUGUAGGAAUUGUGGUCCAGUGUGGCUAGAGAGCAUUGUAGGAGUUAUGAGUCAAGGCUGACAAUGUUUUUAACUUGUGAAUAUGUUUUAAUUUGUUUUAAUCACAGGUAUGUUAAGUCACCUGUUGUCCAGACCUUGUCAGCUGAAUAGCCUGUCGUGCUAAAGGUUCACCACAGAGAAGGCUGUGGGUAACGCUGAGGUAAAAAGAUGUUGUCUAGUAGAGUUAUGUAAGUUUACUAGUUUGUGUGCCUUUUGAUAACAUGAUUCACAUUGCAGUGGGCCUAUACAUCUGAUCCAUAAACAAGGUGGAGUCAGAGCUGGGUUGACUACUUACUGCAUUGUGCGAGGUGGAUGGGCCCCUGUGAAUGUGGUUGCCAACUGCCGGGGUCUGCUAGGGGUGUGGUGGUUGUCCCUGUUUUUGGCUGUGCGAUUUUCCUCAGUUUGUUCUCCUUUUAGUGUUCUGCCGGACUGACAGGGUGGUGGAUUGUGGGAACCCCUUUCCCCUUCAAUGCAUGUGGUGGUGGGUAUGAAAGCUGUGUGUGCACGCUUUACUUACAGUUACAGUUUUAUUGUGUGACGUUUGUGUGUAUCUUGCUGUGUCUGGGUGGCUGCGCACCAGUGUGAGUGGUAGUGUCAAAGCACCUGGGUGGCGCACAGGUAACCCUCCCCCAGCAGGUCUGGCCCCUGUAGAUGCUGAGGUGUUUUUAACCGUGUGCUUUUAUCCCUUUGCAUCUCUGGCAGUAAUUUCAUCCACAUCUUAUUUGUUUAUAUUGUUGUGCUUGUGCAGCAAAUAAAAUUGCCCAAAGCCUGAUUUUUUAAAAUUGUUUAAAUAAAUCUUCCUUCCGG
Long non-coding RNA from Micropterus salmoides (largemouth bass), 1003 nucleotides. RefSeq lists it as uncharacterized. The record is from RefSeq and is a predicted model, not a curated record. Lineage: Eukaryota; Metazoa; Chordata; Actinopteri; Centrarchiformes; Centrarchidae. The transcript has 2 exons.